This 932-nucleotide long non-coding RNA is filed under the name Equus asinus (donkey). RNAcentral's name for it is "lncRNA (ENSEASG00005023938.1)". The record is from RNAcentral. Lineage: Eukaryota; Metazoa; Chordata; Mammalia; Perissodactyla; Equidae.
GCUAGGUGCUCAUUUCCAGCGCUGAGCUUGGUGGUGGUAGACUUUAGUACCCAGAGUCAGGCAAGCAGGAACAAACAAGGACAGCUGGAUAAAAGGAGUUUCUGGACCUCCAAAGCUGAGGACACUAUUCAAUGGCAAGCCCAUUAAUGUUCUGUGACUCUUCAGGGGCUAUCAGACAGCUCCCUCCUUAGACUUUAAUGGUAUGAUCGCUUCUGACAGAGGUCAUUAAGGCUGCAAAUAAAAGGCAGAAGGAAACCAACCAGGUAUGAACAACUUCCUUCUAGAAAUCUUUCUUUGAGCUCAUUCAUAGGUUGAGCAAGAAAAUGUAUUAAUGCUAAAUGGUGGAUAACUGCCUAUGUCCUCACAAAUGUCCAUUGAAUGAUUGCAGUGACAGAAUUAUGUGUUCAGAGAUGUUCAGCACAUUUGAAUCCCUAAAGCUACUUGUGCCUGCCAUGAUAUGCCGUCUGCGAAGUGAUGCUGCCUAUGUAGUAAUGUCUCUCACUCCAACAGAGACCCCUCUCAUGGAGGAGCAACAGGCCAAGGGGCUCCACAGGAAUGAUUCCAGCUCUCAGUGAUGCAAUCUGUCUGGGAACGAGAGGAAGACCAUCUGUUGACCCUCAGAAUCAACGUGCUUUCCUGAACCUCUUUCCCUGUAGUUAGUGUCCCUGCUCUGUUUUCUGCAUACCUUGCCAAGCCCCCCAAUUUCUAGGGUUUAGAAAGCCUCCACUUUAUGGAGUAUGAGAUUCUCCAUCAUUCCCCUGGGGCCUACGCUUGUUCCUGCUCAGCCCCCACUGGACAAUGGCUUUCUGGAGGAGAGGCCGAGGAUGGGACUUGGGACUUAUCUAGAAUACAGUCCUCUAAAUUCAGGCUGAAGGGGGACCCCCAAGAUGUCCUUCCUUCCCAGGUCAAACUUGAACUCAAUUAAAAUGGUG